This 270-nucleotide ribosomal RNA is filed under the name uncultured archaeon. RNAcentral describes it as "partial 16S ribosomal RNA". It matches the Rfam family "Archaeal small subunit ribosomal RNA", at positions 477 to 747 of the family's 1478-position model. The record is from RNAcentral.
CAGCACCUCAAGUGGUCAGGAUGAUUAUUGGGCCUAAAGCAUCCGUAGCCUGUUCUGUAAGUUUUCGGUUAAAUCUGUACGCUCAACGUACAGGCUGCCGGGAAUACUGCAGCGCUAGGGAGUGGGAGAGGUAGACGGUACUCGGUAGGAAGGGGUAAAAUCCUUUGAUCUAUUGAUGACCACCUGUGGCGAAGGCGGUCUACCAGAACACGUCCGACGGUGAGGGAUGAAAGCUGGGGGAGCAAACCGGAUUAGAUACCCGAGUAGUCC